AGCGUACACGGUGGAUGCCCUGGCAGUCAGAGGCGAUGAAGGACGUGCUAAUCUGCGAUAAGCGUCGGUAAGGUGAUAUGAACCGUUAUAACCGGCGAUUUCCGAAUGGGGAAACCCAGUGUGUUUCGACACACUAUCAUUAACUGAAUCCAUAGGUUAAUGAGGCGAACCGGGGGAACUGAAACAUCUAAGUACCCCGAGGAAAAGAAAUCAACCGAGAUUCCCCCAGUAGCGGCGAGCGAACGGGGAGCAGCCCAGAGCCUGAAUCAGUAUGUGUGUUAGUGGAAGCGUCUGGAAAGGCGCGCGAUACAGGGUGACAGCCCCGUACACAAAAAUGCACAUAUUGUGAGCUCGAUGAGUAGGGCGGGACACGUGGUAUCCUGUCUGAAUAUGGGGGGACCAUCCUCCAAGGCUAAAUACUCCUGACUGACCGAUAGUGAACCAGUACCGUGAGGGAAAGGCGAAAAGAACCCCGGCGAGGGGAGUGAAAAAGAACCUGAAACCGUGUACGUACAAGCAGUGGGAGCACGCUUAGGCGUGUGACUGCGUACCUUUUGUAUAAUGGGUCAGCGACUUAUAUUCUGUAGCAAGGUUAACCGAAUAGGGGAGCCGAAGGGAAACCGAGUCUUAACUGGGCGUUAAGUUGCAGGGUAUAGACCCGAAACCCGGUGAUCUAGCCAUGGGCAGGUUGAAGGUUGGGUAACACUAACUGGAGGACCGAACCGACUAAUGUUGAAAAAUUAGCGGAUGACUUGUGGCUGGGGGUGAAAGGCCAAUCAAACCGGGAGAUAGCUGGUUCUCCCCGAAAGCUAUUUAGGUAGCGCCUCGUGAAUUCAUCUCCGGGGGUAGAGCACUGUUUCGGCAAGGGGGUCAUCCCGACUUACCAACCCGAUGCAAACUGCGAAUACCGGAGAAUGUUAUCACGGGAGACACACGGCGGGUGCUAACGUCCGUCGUGAAGAGGGAAACAACCCAGACCGCCAGCUAAGGUCCCAAAGUCAUGGUUAAGUGGGAAACGAUGUGGGAAGGCCCAGACAGCCAGGAUGUUGGCUUAGAAGCAGCCAUCAUUUAAAGAAAGCGUAAUAGCUCACUGGUCGAGUCGGCCUGCGCGGAAGAUGUAACGGGGCUAAACCAUGCACCGAAGCUGCGGCAGCGACGCUUAUGCGUUGUUGGGUAGGGGAGCGUUCUGUAAGCCUGUGAAGGUGUGCUGUGAGGUAUGCUGGAGGUAUCAGAAGUGCGAAUGCUGACAUAAGUAACGAUAAAGCGGGUGAAAAGCCCGCUCGCCGGAAGACCAAGGGUUCCUGUCCAACGUUAAUCGGGGCAGGGUGAGUCGACCCCUAAGGCGAGGCCGAAAGGCGUAGUCGAUGGGAAACAGGUUAAUAUUCCUGUACUUGGUGUUACUGCGAAGGGGGGACGGAGAAGGCUAUGUUGGCCGGGCGACGGUUGUCCCGGUUUAAGCGUGUAGGCUGGUUUUCCAGGCAAAUCCGGAAAAUCAAGGCUGAGGCGUGAUGACGAGGCACUACGGUGCUGAAGCAACAAAUGCCCUGCUUCCAGGAAAAGCCUCUAAGCAUCAGGUAACAUCAAAUCGUACCCCAAACCGACACAGGUGGUCAGGUAGAGAAUACCAAGGCGCUUGAGAGAACUCGGGUGAAGGAACUAGGCAAAAUGGUGCCGUAACUUCGGGAGAAGGCACGCUGAUAUGUAGGUGAAGCGACUUGCUCGUGGAGCUGAAAUCAGUCGAAGAUACCAGCUGGCUGCAACUGUUUAUUAAAAACACAGCACUGUGCAAACACGAAAGUGGACGUAUACGGUGUGACGCCUGCCCGGUGCCGGAAGGUUAAUUGAUGGGGUUAGCGCAAGCGAAGCUCUUGAUCGAAGCCCCGGUAAACGGCGGCCGUAACUAUAACGGUCCUAAGGUAGCGAAAUUCCUUGUCGGGUAAGUUCCGACCUGCACGAAUGGCGUAAUGAUGGCCAGGCUGUCUCCACCCGAGACUCAGUGAAAUUGAACUCGCUGUGAAGAUGCAGUGUACCCGCGGCAAGACGGAAAGACCCCGUGAACCUUUACUAUAGCUUGACACUGAACAUUGAGCCUUGAUGUGUAGGAUAGGUGGGAGGCUUUGAAGUGUGGACGCCAGUCUGCAUGGAGCCGACCUUGAAAUACCACCCUUUAAUGUUUGAUGUUCUAACGUUGACCCGUAAUCCGGGUUGCGGACAGUGUCUGGUGGGUAGUUUGACUGGGGCGGUCUCCUCCUAAAGAGUAACGGAGGAGCACGAAGGUUGGCUAAUCCUGGUCGGACAUCAGGAGGUUAGUGCAAUGGCAUAAGCCAGCUUGACUGCGAGCGUGACGGCGCGAGCAGGUGCGAAAGCAGGUCAUAGUGAUCCGGUGGUUCUGAAUGGAAGGGCCAUCGCUCAACGGAUAAAAGGUACUCCGGGGAUAACAGGCUGAUACCGCCCAAGAGUUCAUAUCGACGGCGGUGUUUGGCACCUCGAUGUCGGCUCAUCACAUCCUGGGGCUGAAGUAGGUCCCAAGGGUAUGGCUGUUCGCCAUUUAAAGUGGUACGCGAGCUGGGUUUAGAACGUCGUGAGACAGUUCGGUCCCUAUCUGCCGUGGGCGCUGGAGAACUGAGGGGGGCUGCUCCUAGUACGAGAGGACCGGAGUGGACGCAUCACUGGUGUUCGGGUUGUCAUGCCAAUGGCACUGCCCGGUAGCUAAAUGCGGAAGAGAUAAGUGCUGAAAGCAUCUAAGCACGAAACUUGCCCCGAGAUGAGUUCUCCCUGACUCCUUGA
RNAcentral lists this ribosomal RNA (2787 nucleotides) under human gut metagenome. Its description in RNAcentral is "bacterial LSU rRNA". It matches the Rfam family "Bacterial large subunit ribosomal RNA". The record is from RNAcentral.